UACAGAGGUCCCGAGCGUUGUUCGGAUUCAUUGGGCGUAAAGGGUGCGUAGGCGGCGGGGAAAGUCUGAUGUGAAAUCCUGGGGCUCAACCCUGGAACUGCAUUGGAUACUUCCUUGCUAGAGUACUGGAGAGGAAACUGGAAUUUACGGUGUAGCAGUGAAAUGCGUAGAGAUCGUAAGGAAGACCAGUGGCGAAGGCGAGUUUCUGGACAGUUACUGACGCUGAGACACGAAAGCCAGGGGAGCGAACGGG
This 253-nucleotide ribosomal RNA is filed under the name uncultured bacterium. RNAcentral describes it as "partial 16S ribosomal RNA". It matches the Rfam family "Bacterial small subunit ribosomal RNA", at positions 524 to 776 of the family's 1533-position model. The record is from RNAcentral.